RNAcentral lists this ribosomal RNA (433 nucleotides) under uncultured bacterium. Its description in RNAcentral is "partial 16S ribosomal RNA". It matches the Rfam family "Bacterial small subunit ribosomal RNA", at positions 29 to 507 of the family's 1533-position model. The record is from RNAcentral.
AACGAACGCUGGCGGCAUGCCUAACACAUGCAAGUCGAACGAGACCUUCGGGUCUUGUGGCGCACGGCUGCGUAACGCCUGGGAACUUGCCCUUAGGUUCGCAAUACCUCCCCGAAAGGGGUCCUCAUACCGGUUAAUGUCUUCGGACCAAGGAUUUCUUGCGUUUGGGUGGGCCCGCGUUGGAUUCGCUAGUUGGUAGGGUAAAAGCCUACCAAGGCGAGGAUCCAGAGCUGGUCGGUGAAGAUGAUCAGCCACACUGGGGCUGCGACACGGCCCAGACUCCUACGGGAGGGAGCGGUGGGGAGUACAGUACAAUGGGCGAAAGCCUGAUCCAGCAGUGCCGGGUAAGUGAGGAAGGCCGUAGGGUUGUAAAGCUCUUUUACCCGGGAUGAUAAUGACGGUACCGGGAGAAGAAGCUCCGGCUAACUCCGUG